RNAcentral lists this long non-coding RNA (432 nucleotides) under Nicotiana benthamiana. Its description in RNAcentral is "long non-coding RNA (NBEN_LNC041888)". Lineage: Eukaryota; Viridiplantae; Streptophyta; Magnoliopsida; Solanales; Solanaceae. The record is from RNAcentral.
GGAGGUGUGACAGCUCUGGCGACUCUGCUGGGGACACAAACCCAGAACAUUGGUACAGGAUUUAAGAAUUCGAGCUUAGUAUAAUUGCUAUAUUUGGCUUUAUCUGAUUUCCUACAUGUUCCAUGCUAUACGUGCUAAAUAUUUUACCGCUUUCAUAUUUGUUGAAUUGUAUAUAUAAACUGUUACAAAUCUCUUCCUCUCUAUGAGUCUUCUACAUCAUGGAGAAGGGUGCACUUCAAGUAACUUCUCUUAUGUUUAGAAUCAUAUCCCAUUUAGAACGAGGUUUGGAUAAGUUACCAAGCCGGCAGAGCUUCUAUAUCCCUGGUACGCUGCUCUCUCCCCCAGCUCACGUUGUCCGCUCGGGUAAGCCAUGUUGGAAAUCAUGUAUAUCUAUGAUAUGUGCGAUUUGGUUGUAUGAGCAUGAUUUUUAGG